Molecule: unclassified non-coding RNA, 253 nt
Filed under: uncultured Anaerolineae bacterium
Lineage: Bacteria; Bacillati; Chloroflexota; Anaerolineae
Description: contains 16S-23S intergenic spacer region
Rfam family: Bacterial small subunit ribosomal RNA
Source: RNAcentral
AACGUAGGACGCAAACGUUAUCCGGAGUUACUGGGCGUAAAGCGCGUGCAGGCGGAUGGUUAAGUCAGCUAUGAAAGCUCCUGGCUAAACUGGGAGAGGUUAGCUGAAACUGGCCGUCUAGAGAGAAGCAGAGGAAGAUGGAAUUCCGCGUGUAGUGGUGAAAUGCGUAGAUAUGCGGAGGAACACCAGUGGCGAAGGCGAUCUUCUGGGCUUCCACUGACGCUGAGACGCGAAAGCAUGGGGAGCGAACGGG